GCGGUAAAACACCGGUUCUCGUACGAUCACCGAAGUUAAGCAACGUCGAGUCUGGUCGGUACGUAGUUGGGUUACCAUUUGGGAAGACCAGGUGCUGUAAG
Molecule: non-coding RNA, 101 nt
Organism: Acanthosepion pharaonis
Lineage: Eukaryota; Metazoa; Mollusca; Cephalopoda; Sepiida; Sepiidae
Source: the annotation of a GenBank genome assembly